GGCAGCAUGAUUUGUAGCAAUACAGAUUGAUGGCGACCGGCGCACGGGUGAGUAACGCGUAUGCAACUUACCUAUCAGAGGGGGAUAGCCCGGCGAAAGUCGGAUUAAUACCCCAUAAAACAGGGGUCCCGCAUGGGAAUAUUUGUUAAAGAUUCAUCGCUGAUAGAUAGGCAUGCGUUCCAUUAGGCAGUUGGCGGGGUAACGGCCCACCAAACCGACGAUGGAUAGGGGUUCUGAGAGGAAGGUCCCCCACAUUGGUACUGAGACACGGACCAAACUCCUACGGGAGGCAGCAGUGAGGAAUAUUGGUCAAUGGCCGAGAGGCUGAACCAGCCAAGUCGCGUGAAGGAAGAAGGAUCUAUGGUUUGUAAACUUCUUUUAUAGGGGAAUAAUGUGGAGGACGUGUCCUUUUUUGUAUGUACCCUAUGAAUAAGCAUCGGCUAACUCCGUGCCAGCAGCCGCGGUAAUACGGAGGAUGCGAGCGUUAUCCGGAUUUAUUGGGUUUAAAGGGUGCGUAGGUGGUGAUUUAAGUCAGCGGUGAAAGUUUGUGGCUCAACCAUAAAAUUGCCGUUGAAACUGGGUUACUUGAGUGUGUUUGAGGUAGGCGGAAUGCGUGGUGUAGCGGUGAAAUGCAUAGAUAUCACGCAGAACUCCGAUUGCGAAGGCAGCUUACUAAACCAUAACUGACACUGAAGCACGAAAGCGUGGGGAUCAAACAGGAUU
RNAcentral lists this ribosomal RNA (723 nucleotides) under uncultured bacterium. RNAcentral describes it as "bacterial SSU rRNA". It matches the Rfam family "Bacterial small subunit ribosomal RNA", at positions 68 to 779 of the family's 1533-position model. The record is from RNAcentral.